This 739-nucleotide ribosomal RNA is filed under the name uncultured Corynebacterium sp. RNAcentral describes it as "bacterial SSU rRNA". It matches the Rfam family "Bacterial small subunit ribosomal RNA", at positions 28 to 776 of the family's 1533-position model. The record is from RNAcentral. Lineage: Bacteria; Bacillati; Actinomycetota; Actinomycetes; Mycobacteriales; Corynebacteriaceae.
GACGAACGCUGGCGGCGUGCUUAACACAUGCAAGUCGAACGGAAAGGCCCUGCUUGCAGGGUGCUCGAGUGGCGAACGGGUGAGUAACACGUGGGUGAUCUGCCCCUUACUUUGGGAUAAGCCUGGGAAACUGGGUCUAAUACUGGAUAGGACCAUGUUGUAGGUGGUGUGGUGGAAAGAUUAGUUUCGGUAAGGGAUGAGCUCGCGGCCUAUCAGCUUGUUGGUGGGGUAAUGGCCUACCAAGGCGUCGACGGGUAGCCGGCCUGAGAGGGUGGACGGCCACAUUGGGACUGAGAUACGGCCCAGACUCCUACGGGAGGCAGCAGUGGGGAAUAUUGCACAAUGGGCGCAAGCCUGAUGCAGCGACGCCGCGUGGGGGAUGACGGCCUUCGGGUUGUAAACUCCUUUCAGCCAUGACGAAGCCCUUGUGGUGACGGUAGUGGUAGAAGAAGCACCGGCUAACUACGUGCCAGCAGCCGCGGUAAUACGUAGGGUGCGAGCGUUGUCCGGAAUUACUGGGCGUAAAGAGCUCGUAGGUGGUCUGUCGCGUCAUUUGUGAAAGCCCGGGGCUUAACUCCGGGUUGGCAGGUGAUACGGGCAUGACUGGAGUACUGUAGGGGAGACUGGAAUUCCUGGUGUAGCGGUGAAAUGCGCAGAUAUCAGGAGGAACACCGGUGGCGAAGGCGGGUCUCUGGGCAGUAACUGACGCUGAGGAGCGAAAGCAUGGGUAGCGAACAGG